This 466-nucleotide ribosomal RNA is filed under the name uncultured bacterium. RNAcentral's name for it is "partial 16S ribosomal RNA". It matches the Rfam family "Bacterial small subunit ribosomal RNA", at positions 28 to 507 of the family's 1533-position model. The record is from RNAcentral.
GACGAACGCUGGCGGCGCGCCUAACACAUGCAAGUCGAACGAGCGCGAGAUAGCUUGCUUUCUCGAGCGAGUGGCGAACGGGUGCGUAACGCGUGAGGAACCUGCCUCACAGAGGGGUACAACAGUUGGAAACGACUGCUACUACCGCAUAAGCUCACGGCUCGGCAUCGAGCCGGGGGAUAAUGAGCACUCCGCUUUGGGAUUGCCUCGCUUCCGAUUAGCUAGUUGGUCGGGUAACGGCCCCCCCAGGCCACGAAAGGUAGCCGGAAAGAGAGGUUGAACGGACACAUUGGGAGGAAGAAACGGUCGAGAAUACUGCGGGAGGCAGGAGAGGGGGAUAUAGCACAAUGGGGGAAAUCAAGAAGCAGCGAGGGCGGGUGGAGGAAGAAGGUCUUCGGAUAGUGAAGUCCGGUAGUAGGGGAAGGUAAUGACGGUACCCAACAAGGAAGCGACGGCUAACUACGUG